GACGAACGCUGGCGGCGUGCUUAACACAUGCAAGUCGAACGGUGAAGGGGUCUGCUUUUGUGGGCCCUGGAUGAGUGGCGAACGGGUGAGUAACACGUGAGUAACCUGCCCCCUUCUUCUGGAUAACCGCAUGAAAGUGUGGCUAAUACGGGAUAUUCUGGGUCUGUCGCAUGAUGGGUCUGGGAAAGAUUGCGCCUUUGGGUGUUUUUGGUGGGGGAUGGGCUCGCGGCCUAUCAGCUUGUUGGUGGGGUGAUGGCCUACCAAGGCGGUGACGGGUAGCCGGCCUGAGGGGGUGGACGGUCACACUGGGACUGAGACACGGCCCAGACUCCUACGGGAGGGAGCAGUGGGGAAUAUUGCACAAUGGGCGCAAGCCUGAUGCAGCGACGCCGCGUGAGGGAUGGAGGCCUUCGGGUUGUAAACCUCUUUCGCCAGUGAAGCAGGCCUGCUCCUUGUGGGUGGGUUGACGGUAGCUGGAUAAGAAGCGCCGGCUAACUACGUG
RNAcentral lists this ribosomal RNA (502 nucleotides) under uncultured bacterium. RNAcentral describes it as "partial 16S ribosomal RNA". It matches the Rfam family "Bacterial small subunit ribosomal RNA", at positions 28 to 507 of the family's 1533-position model. The record is from RNAcentral.